Long non-coding RNA from Pan troglodytes (chimpanzee), 677 nucleotides. RefSeq lists it as uncharacterized. Lineage: Eukaryota; Metazoa; Chordata; Mammalia; Primates; Hominidae. The transcript is spliced from 4 exons. The record is from RefSeq and is a predicted model, not a curated record.
UGCAUAGAGCAUGGCCACCCCCAAUCAUUUGUGAUGCAGAUGGAUUCUCCACCUGGUUGGUGCCAUGUUGCCUGUUUCUUCACUGUACACGUGGUAACAAAGAAAUGGGAAGAAGAUAAGAGCCUCCACGCUGGACAUGCCUGGCCCCAAGGAAGAGUCCUGUCCUGUACCCGGGAGGAAGAAAUGCUACACAGAGAAGCCAAGAUGAAUCUGAACAGACAGCCUUUGUCAGUUCCACAGAUUCCAUAAAAGUUAACUCCAGAGCAGAGAAUAAUGCCACAGUCGGGAUAACAUCCGAUAUUUGCAGUCAGAAGAAAUAUGAGACAGAGUCUUGCUCCAUCACCCAGGCUGCAGUGCAGUGGCGCGAUCUUGGCUCACUGCAAGCUCCACCUCCCGGGUUCACGCCAUUCUGCUGCCUCAGCCUCCCAAGUGGCUGGGACUACAGGCGCCCACCACCACGCCCGGCUAAAUUUUUUUGUAUUUUUAGUAGAGAUGGGGUUUCACUGUGUUAGCCAGGAUGGUCUCGAUUUCCUGACCUCGUGAUCUGCCUGCCUCGGCCUCCCAAAGUGCUGGGAUUACAGGCGUGAGCCACUGCGCCCGGCUGUAAUUAUUCUUUUCGUGUUAAGCAAUGGUAAAAGAACUGACUGAAAAUAAGAAUAUUAAAAAGUUUCUCUGCU